This 494-nucleotide ribosomal RNA is filed under the name uncultured bacterium. RNAcentral describes it as "partial 16S ribosomal RNA". It matches the Rfam family "Bacterial small subunit ribosomal RNA", at positions 29 to 523 of the family's 1533-position model. The record is from RNAcentral.
AAUGAACGUUGGCGGCGUGGAUUAGGCAUGCAAGUCGAGCGAGAACCCGCAAGGGGGACAGCGGCAAACGGGGUAGUAACGGGUAGGCAACGUACCCUUCGGAUGGGGAUAGCCACGGGAAACUGUGGGUAAUACCCAAUAAUCUCUCUGAUAAUCAUCGUUAGAGAGCAAAGGUGUGAUUCCACCGGAGGAGCGGCCUGCUUCGUAUUAGCUAGUUGGUGAGGUAACGGCUCACCAAGGCGACGAUGCGUAGGGGGUGUGAGAGCAUGACCCCCACCACUGGGACUGAGAUACUGCCCAGACACCUACGGGUGGCUGCAGUCGAGAAUCUUCGGCAAUGGGGGAAACCCUGACCGAGCGACGCCGCGUGUGGGAUGAAGGCCCUUGGGUUGUAAACCACUGUCAGAGGGGAUGAAGUGCGGGAGAGCAAUCUCUUCCGUUUGACAUAGCCUCAGAGGAAGCACGGGCUAAGUUCGUGCCAGCAGCCGCCGUAA